UACAGAGGGUGCAAGCGUUGUUCGGAAUUAUUGGGCGUAAAGCGCGUGUAGGCGGCAUGGCAAGUCGGGUGUGAAAGCCCUCAGCUUAACUGAGGAAGUGCGCCCGAAACUGCCGUGCUUGAGUGCCGGAGAGGGUGGCGGAAUUCCCCAAGUAGAGGUGAAAUUCGUAGAUAUGGGGAGGAACACCGGUGGCGAAGGCGGCCAUCUGGACGGAUACGUGGACGCUGAGACGCGAAAGCGUGGGUAGCAAACAGG
Molecule: ribosomal RNA, 255 nt
Filed under: uncultured bacterium
Lineage: Bacteria
Description: partial 16S ribosomal RNA
Rfam family: Bacterial small subunit ribosomal RNA
Source: RNAcentral